RNAcentral lists this ribosomal RNA (445 nucleotides) under uncultured bacterium. Its description in RNAcentral is "partial 16S ribosomal RNA". It matches the Rfam family "Bacterial small subunit ribosomal RNA", at positions 354 to 796 of the family's 1533-position model. The record is from RNAcentral.
GUGAGGAAUAUUGGUCAAUGGGCGAUGGCCUGAACCAGCCAAGUAGCGUGAAGGAUGACUGCCCUAUGGGUUGUAAACUUCUUUUAUAAAGGAAUAAAGUCGGGUAUGCAUACCCGUUUGCAUGUACUUUAUGAAUAAGGAUCGGCUAACUCCGUGCCAGCAGCCGCGGUAAUACGGAGGAUCCGAGCGUUAUCCGGAUUUAUUGGGUUUAAAGGGAGCGUAGAUGGAUGUUUAAGUCAGUUGUGAAAGUUUGCGGCUCAACCGUAAAAUUGCAGUUGAUACUGGAUGUCUUGAGUGCAGUUGAGGCAGGCGGAAUUCGUGGUGUAGCGGUGAAAUGCUUAGAUAUCACGAAGAACUCCGAUUGCGAAGGCAGCCUGCUAAGCUGCAACUGACAUUGAGGCUCGAAAGUGUGGGUAUCAAACAGGAUUAGAAACCCUAGUAGUCC